AUUCCAGCUCCAAUAGCGUCUCUUCCCUUUGUUUCCGUUCCCCCGCUCGUAGUUGGAUUUCUGGGAGGGUGCCGCCGUCCGGCGUGUCCGUGUGCAGUGGCGCCCUUCCAUCCUUCUGUUAGCGUCUCUUGGCAUUCAUUUGCUGGUGGCGGGCUCAGAUAUUUUACCUUGAGAAAAUUAGAGUGUUUCAGGCAGGCUAGGCCGGAAUACAUUAGCAUGGAAUAAUGGAAUAGGACUACGGUCUCUUUGUUGGUUUGAGGGACUGCAGUAAUGAUUAAUAGGGAUAGUUGGGGGCAUUAGUAUUUAAUUGUCAGAGGUGGAAUUCUCAGAUUUGUUAAAGACUAACUUAUGCGAAAGCAUUUGCCAAGGAUGUUUUCAUCA
Molecule: ribosomal RNA, 381 nt
Filed under: Spirotrichea sp.
Lineage: Eukaryota; Ciliophora; Spirotrichea
Description: partial small subunit ribosomal RNA
Rfam family: Eukaryotic small subunit ribosomal RNA
Source: RNAcentral